AUACAUAGGGGGCGAGCGUUAUCCGGAUUUAUUGGGCGUAAAGGGUGCGUAGGUGGUUUCUUAAGUCAGAAGUGAAAGGCUACGGCUCAACCGUAGUAAGCUUUUGAAACUAAGAGACUUGAGUGCAGGAGAGGAGAGUAGAAUUCCUAGUGUAGCGGUGAAAUGCGUAGAUAUUAGGAGGAAUACCAGUUGCGAAGGCGGCUCUCUGGACUGUAACUGACACUGAGGCACGAAAGCGUGGGGAGCAAACAGGAUUAGAUACCCUGGUAGUCCACGCCGUAAACGAUGAGUACUAGCUGUCGGGGGUUACCCCCCUCGGUGGCGCAGCUAACGCAUUAAGUACUCCGCCUGGGAAGUACGCUCGCAAGAGUGAAACUUAAAGGAAUUGACGGG
RNAcentral lists this ribosomal RNA (393 nucleotides) under uncultured bacterium. RNAcentral describes it as "partial 16S ribosomal RNA". It matches the Rfam family "Bacterial small subunit ribosomal RNA", at positions 523 to 917 of the family's 1533-position model. The record is from RNAcentral.